RNAcentral lists this ribosomal RNA (494 nucleotides) under uncultured bacterium. Its description in RNAcentral is "bacterial SSU rRNA". It matches the Rfam family "Bacterial small subunit ribosomal RNA", at positions 20 to 507 of the family's 1533-position model. The record is from RNAcentral.
UGGCUCAGAUUGAACGCUGGCGGAAUGCUUUACACAUGCAAGUCGAACGGCAGCACGGGGGCGAACCCUGGUGGCGAGUGGCGAACGGGUGAGUAAUACAUCGGAACGUGCCCAGUCGUGGGGGAUAACGUAGCGAAAGCUACGCUAAUACCGCAUACGAUCUACGGAUGAAAGCGGGGGAUCGCAAGACCUCGCGCGAUUGGAGCGGCCGAUGGCAGAUUAGGUAGUUGGUGGGGUAAAGGCUCACCAAGCCUUCGAUCUGUAGCUGGUCUGAGAGGACGACCAGCCACACUGGGACUGAGACACGGCCCAGACUCCUACGGGAGGCAGCAGUGGGGAAUUUUGGACAAUGGGCGAAAGCCUGAUCCAGCCAUUCCGCGUGCAGGAUGAAGGCCCUCGGGUUGUAAACUGCUUUUGUACGGAACGAAACGGCCUUUUCUAAUACAGAGGGCUAAUGACGGUACCGUAAGAAUAAGACACCGGCUAACUACGUG